GGGCGCAAGCCUGAUCUAGCCAUGCCGCGUGAGUGACGAAGGCCUUAGGGUCGUAAAGCUCUUUCGCCAGAGAUGAUAAUGACAGUAUCUGGUAAAGAAACCCCGGCUAACUCCGUGCCAGCAGCCGCGGUAAUACGGAGGGGGUUAGCGUUGUUCGGAAUUACUGGGCGUAAAGCGCACGUAGGCGGAUUGGAAAGUAUGGGGUGAAAUCCCAGGGCUCAACCCUGGAACGGCCUUGUAAACUCCCAGUCUAGAGUUCGAGAGAGGUGAGUGGAAUUCCAAGUGUAGAGGUGAAAUUCGUAUAUAUUUGGAGGAACACCAGUGGCGAAGGCGGCUCACUGGCUCGAUACUGACGCUGAGGUGCGAAAGUGUGGGGAGCAAACAGGAUUAGAUACCCUGGUAGUCCACACCGUAAACGAUGAAUGCCAGACGUCAGGGGGCUUGCCCUUUGGUGUCACACCUAACGGAUUAAGCAUUCCGCCUGGGGAGUACGGUCGCAAGAUUAAAACUCA
RNAcentral lists this ribosomal RNA (512 nucleotides) under uncultured Alphaproteobacteria bacterium. RNAcentral describes it as "bacterial SSU rRNA". It matches the Rfam family "Bacterial small subunit ribosomal RNA", at positions 373 to 903 of the family's 1533-position model. The record is from RNAcentral. Lineage: Bacteria; Pseudomonadati; Pseudomonadota; Alphaproteobacteria.